CGUUGUGAGAGGAUUUCCGAUCUCAUCCCAUAACGGAGUCCCGAAGCCAACUCACCCACACCCAAAAGAAAAGAGAGCCGCCAGCAGCCCGAAUCAGGCCAUGCCCUUGAACCUAGUUCAAGGGCGAUAGAAGAGAGAGCGAUGGGGAUCGGCAGCCGGGAGCAUUAAACAGAACAGCCAAGAGGGGGUUCAGAAAAAAAAAUUCCCGCAACGGAGGAGCAUGCGCGCCGGACCUAGUGACUUAGCGAUUUUUUUUUGUUCUGAAAGAAAAAGGGAUCCAGAUCAGGGAAAGACCAGGAACCAGGACCAGGAAGCAUAAGAGGAAUAGGUCACAGCUCCGCCACCCUGGCUUGUUUUUUCUGCUGGUCUCGAAGGAACAGACCUGGCCACGUAGUGCGGGACCCUCGCCCACUUAGGGAGAAGAAAAAAAUCACAUCAACUCAUUUACUCCCAUUAAUUAUUUUUGUUGGACGUCUCCAGUUAUAAGUAUAUGUAUGUAAUUUA
This is a long non-coding RNA of Drosophila persimilis, 504 nucleotides long. RefSeq lists it as uncharacterized. The transcript is spliced from 3 exons. The record is from RefSeq and is a predicted model, not a curated record. Lineage: Eukaryota; Metazoa; Arthropoda; Insecta; Diptera; Drosophilidae.